Long non-coding RNA from Drosophila ananassae, 212 nucleotides. RefSeq lists it as uncharacterized. The transcript has 4 exons. The record is from RefSeq and is a predicted model, not a curated record. NCBI's taxonomy places the organism in Eukaryota, Metazoa, Arthropoda, Insecta, Diptera, Drosophilidae.
GGUGAAUCCAGUGGAGGUCGUCAAGUGGAUAAGGGUUAUCACAGUAUUAAGAAGAAGACGGAUGAUUAUGUAAACAUUGAAAACAUGUAAACAAUGAGGACUUCAAGACAAGAUUAAAAGACAGCAAUUUGGGACGACAUUGAGCAGACAGUUCCUCGGUGUCGGCAGCGUGGGAUGGCAAUUUCCAGGUUUUGCACGUUCGUGAAGGGUCA